GGGGGCGACAGGCUUCGACAGGGGCUUGUAUAGAUCUUUGGAUGCACGUCGGGCUUGCUUGUUAGCUCGUUAAAACACCAAGCAAAACACAAAUGCCAACACUGAAUUGGCUCUUGCUGCCUAGUUAACUCUAGCCAGUCAAGUGUCUCAUCACAAGUCAGCUUGAAGCGCGUGAAUGAGGCAUAACACAUUUUAAGCUAGCGCGUCUUCUCCGCCUGCGAAGACGCGCGAAAUGUUAGUCAGACUAGCUUUUCGAGAGGUCUUGUCGGUUUACUUACUCUCUAAAGGCGAAAACCGAAGUGAACUCGACUAAACGUGUAGAUUCCCUUGGUCGCAACCUUUGGAUGCGGGUUCGAUUCCCGCCGCCUCCACCA
This 374-nucleotide transfer-messenger RNA is filed under the name Acidobacteriota bacterium. Its description in RNAcentral is "Acidobacteria bacterium (soil metagenome) transfer-messenger RNA". It matches the Rfam family "transfer-messenger RNA". Rfam says of the family: Bacterial tmRNA, also known as 10Sa RNA or SsrA, is named for its dual tRNA and mRNA-like properties. Lineage: Bacteria; Pseudomonadati; Acidobacteriota. The record is from RNAcentral.